RNAcentral lists this ribosomal RNA (398 nucleotides) under uncultured bacterium. RNAcentral describes it as "bacterial SSU rRNA". It matches the Rfam family "Bacterial small subunit ribosomal RNA", at positions 28 to 428 of the family's 1533-position model. The record is from RNAcentral.
GACGAACGCUGGCGGCGUGCUUAACACAUGCAAGUCGAGCGGUAAGGCCCUUUCGGGGGUACACGAGCGGCGAACGGGUGAGUAACACGUGGGUGACCUGCCCUCAGCUCUGGGAUAAGCCCGGGAAACUGGGUCUAAUACUGGAUAUGACUCCAUGACGCAUGUUGUGGGGUGGAAAGCCUUGUGCGGCUGAGGAUGGGCCCGCGGCCUAUCAGCUUGUUGGGGGGUGAUGGCCUACCAAGGCGACGACGGGUAGCCGGCCUGAGAGGGCGACCGGCCACACUGGGACUGAGACACGGCCCAGACUCCUACGGGAGGCAGCAGUGGGGAAUCUUGCGCAAUGGGCGAAAGCCUGACGCAGCGACGCCGCGUGAGGGAUGACGGCCUGGUGUACGUAC